AGCUGCGCGCCUGCUUCAGGUGCCCCCGGUGCAAGUCGGGGGUGAAACAGGGAAGCCGGUGAAGUCCGACCUCGCGGUCCGACCAGUCCGGCGCUGCCCCCGCAACGGUAAGCGAGCAUCGAACCGCAUUCCGCCACUGUGCCAUCGGCAUGGGAAGGCGCGGUUUCAGGAGCCUGUCACGGCCCACUCGCAAGCCCGGAGACCGGCCUGCUGCAUGUCAUGGCA
This 225-nucleotide non-coding RNA is filed under the name Pseudomonas denitrificans (nom. rej.). The record is from RNAcentral. Lineage: Bacteria; Pseudomonadati; Pseudomonadota; Gammaproteobacteria; Pseudomonadales; Pseudomonadaceae.